Molecule: long non-coding RNA, 212 nt
Filed under: Manihot esculenta (cassava)
Lineage: Eukaryota; Viridiplantae; Streptophyta; Magnoliopsida; Malpighiales; Euphorbiaceae
Description: long non-coding RNA (MESC_LNC013092)
Source: RNAcentral
AUUCCCGCACAUGCACCGUGGACCAUACUCCCACUCCAACAAUUCACGCAUGGCCCACCUCAACUCCAAAGCUUGACAUUCCCGCCAGUCACUUCGCAUGGGCCCGCGCUUCACCGUUCAGCGCAACAUGGACCAAUUCACCAUGGACCAAAGCAAGGCUCAACUCACGCACGCAUGGGCAGAGACCAAACACUCCACCAAUUCAUGCGGAC